Long non-coding RNA from Protopterus annectens (West African lungfish), 865 nucleotides. RefSeq lists it as uncharacterized. The record is from RefSeq and is a predicted model, not a curated record. NCBI's taxonomy places the organism in Eukaryota, Metazoa, Chordata, Ceratodontiformes, Protopteridae. The transcript has 2 exons.
UUUAACCCCAAAAUUAUUAAUUACCUUACAACCACUAUCAAACUAAAUUAUAACGCACUGCUAUAUUAAUUGCAAACUAACAUUUUGCUUGCUAAACACGAUUACUAAACAGGCAACAACACUGACUACUCAUACGAUGCUUACUUCCAGGCCCUGUUUUUUGGAACACAGCAGCCGACUCCCACAAGCCAUUGCAAACAGCCUUCAAUGAAAUUUAAGAAGUUUUUUUAUUUCGGCGCCAUUUUCGAUUGGACUGAGGAAUAUGCUUGGUCCUGUGCUCUGCCCAGACCUUGGAGAGAAGAAUCAACUUGAGAGUACAGAAUGGAAAUCAUUGGCAUCAGCUGUGACUUGCACUGUCUUGCAGUACCUUUUAUGUACUGGCAACUGCAGCCAAACACGUUUUAAGAAUUUGUCUAAUGCUCUCUGCAGGUACCUGAGGAAAACAUCUGAUUCCUGAAGGGAUGGAGUUAAUGGUAGAAAAAAAUGCACAGCCAAAUUCUUCAGUAAGAAUAUAAUACCACAGUUUUGUGAAUUUGGCUUGUGACAGUUCCUGUAAGGUGUAUAUAUUUUUUGGUCUGUCAAUUAAUCUAGAAAAAAAAUGUAAUUUGUGUUGCUGAUGCUAACUUUCCCAGCAUUCAUUCUUUCCUUUUGCAGUUUACAAGGACUUAUCAGUGGGUGCUAAAAAUGUUAGUACAUGAAGCUUUUUGUCAUCUCCAUUAACUGUUGUGUCCUGUGCUAUAACUGCUUGUUAUAGUGUGUACUGUCUGAACUUUUUCCUUCCACUGCAAACACAAGUAAACCAAGUUUCUUUUCUGCCUUCCAAAGCAGUGCUAAAGGGUAUAAAAAAUUUAAUUUUUAAAUUCUU